UGAGUACGAAAUGCUACGGCAUUGAAGCAGUCUAUGUCAUACUUCCUAGAAAAGCUUGCACUGUCAUAAACAAAUAAUGCCUGUACCAUAACCGACACAGGUGGGUAGGUAGAGUAUACUAAGGGGCGCGAGAUAACUCUCUCUAAGGAACUCGGCAAAAUGACUCCGUAACUUCGGGAGAAGGAGUGCCUUAUUUAUAAGGUUGCAAUAACAAGAUCCAAGCAACUGUUUAUCAAAAACACAGGUCUCCGCUAAGUCGUAAGACGAUGUAUGGGGGCUGACGCCUGCCCAGUGCCAGAAGGUUAAAGAAGUUGGUUAGCAUUCGCGAAGCUGAUAACUGAAGCCCUGGUGAACGGCGGCCGUAACAAAACGGUCCUAAGGUAGCGAAAUUCCUUGUCGGGUAAGUUCCGACCCGCACGAAAGGCGUAAUGAUUUGGAUACUGUCUCGAAGAGGGGCUCGGUGAAAUAGACUUGUCUGUGAAGAUGCGGACUACCUGCACCUGGACAGAAAGACCCUAUGAAGCUUUACUGUAACUUGAAAUUGAAAUUGGACUUUAUUUGCGCAGUAUAGGUGGGAGGCAUUGAAGAUAUUCUUGCGGGAAUAUUGGAGCCAUCAGUGAGAUACCACUCUUGUAAUGUUAGAUUUCUAACUUUGUAUCAUUAUCUGGUCAAAGAACAGUUUCAGGCGGGCAGUUUGACUGGGGCGGUCGCCUCCCAAAUGGUAACGGAGGCGCACAAAGGUUUCCUCUGAACGGGUAGAAAUCGUAUCUAGAGUGUAAAGGCAUAAGGAAGCUUGACUGUGAGACCUACAAGUCGAGCAGGGACGAAAGUCGGUCUUAGUGAUCUGACGGUGCUGAGUGGAAAGGCCGUCACUCAACGGAUAAAAGUUACUCUAGGAUAACAGGCUGAUCUCCCCCAAGAGUUCACAUCGACGGGGAGGUUUGGCACCUCGAUGUCGGCUCAUCGCAUCCUGGGGCGGUAGUACGUCCCAAGGGUUGGGCUGUUCGCCCAUGAAAGCGGUACGCGAGCUGGGUUCAGAACGUCGUGAGACAGUUCGGUCCAUAUCCGGUGUAGGCGUUAGAAUAUUGAGAGGAGCCUUCUUUAGUACGAGAGGACCGAGAAGGACAUACCUCUGGUGUACCAGUUAUUGUGCCAACGGUAAACGCUGGGUAGCUAUGUAUGGAGAGGAUAACCGCUGAAAGCAUCUAAGUGGGAAGCCCACCUCAAGAUAAG
RNAcentral lists this ribosomal RNA (1233 nucleotides) under metagenome. RNAcentral describes it as "bacterial LSU rRNA". It matches the Rfam family "Bacterial large subunit ribosomal RNA", at positions 1564 to 2808 of the family's 2925-position model. The record is from RNAcentral.